GAUGAACGCUAGCGAUAGGCUUAACACAUGCAAGUCGAGGGGUAACGUGUUGGAAGCUUGCUUCCGAUGACGACGACCGGCGGAUGGGUGCGUAACGCGUAUGCAACUUGCCUCACAGUGGAGAAUAACCCGGAGAAAUCCGGACUAAUGUUCCAUACACUCUUAAGUACUCCUGUACAUGAGAGGAAAGAUUUAUCGCUGUGAGAUAGGCAUGCGUCCUAUUAGGUAGUUGGUGAGGUAACGGCUCACCAAGCCGACGAUAGGUAGGGGUGCUGAGAGGCAGAUCCCCCACAUUGGGACUGAGACACGGCACAAACUCCUACGGGAGGCAGCAGUGAGGAAUAUUGGUCAAUGGAGGAAACUCUGAACCAGCCAAGUCGCGUGAAGGAAGAAUGUCCUAAGGAUUGUAAACUUCUUUAGCGAGCGAGUAAGGACUUCCACGUGAUGGGAGUUUGAAAGUAGCUCGAGAAUAAGUAUCGGCUAACUCCGUG
This 491-nucleotide ribosomal RNA is filed under the name uncultured bacterium. Its description in RNAcentral is "partial 16S ribosomal RNA". It matches the Rfam family "Bacterial small subunit ribosomal RNA", at positions 28 to 507 of the family's 1533-position model. The record is from RNAcentral.